AUGCUUGUUUCAGCAGCACAUACACUAAAAUUGGAAUUAUACAGAGAAGUCCAAGGAUGACACACAGAAUUCAUGAAGUGUUUCAUAUUUUU
Molecule: small nuclear RNA, 92 nt
Organism: Papio anubis (olive baboon)
Lineage: Eukaryota; Metazoa; Chordata; Mammalia; Primates; Cercopithecidae
Source: Ensembl